CCAUGUUGUUUUACCAUUCUGGUGUUUCACCUAAAAUUGUUUGCUGAUCUGUGGGUACUGUUCUUCUAUUCUAUUAUGGUCCUUCCAUUGUCAUUCAUUGCAAAAUUGUACAUUGCAGUACUGAGUGGACUUCUUAACUCCCUUAUCCCUUGUUCUCAUUUACUCUUUCCAAAGACUAUCUUUUACUCUAUUUUUCCCUUUCACUGGGGGGAAAAGAUAUAGAAAUGUGGAAACUGAACUUUUUAUGCAGUUCUCUUUCUCUUAUUUUGAGUAGACCCUAUAAGGAAAGUCAAAGACAUGAGCCAUACAGGGAUCAUUGAGUACUGUAAUAAGGAAUUUUGGACAGUGCCAAGUUUGAAUGAUUGGCCCUUAGCUUCAGUGAUUGCAGGCUAGUGGGUUGAGUGGUGGUUGUUGUGGGGUGAGCACAUAUGCUGAUUCGAGUCCUAACAACGUGAAAUUGCUCGUGGGGAUAGCAAACGAAAUACUGAAACAGAAAAAUGUAGAAUCUAUUCUUUUCGGUGGCAAGAGGGUUGGAGAGCAAAGCAAUUCCGAGAAACUCGACUAGUUUGCUACAAAACUUGUGCAAGAGCAUUAGAGGAGGAGUUGCCGUAUAGCUCCCACUGUUGCGUUCAAGCAAGCUUCCUUGAAGGCUUCCCAAACAACGCUCAAAUAAUCAAAAACUAAAGAUAUAAAAAGAAACUAACUAUUGUGCUAAAGAAAGAGGACAUGGACCAAAGAAGAGCCAAUGCAAUGAGUACUGACUGCUAUGCUGGAGAAACAUGAUAUUUGCAGAAACAUAUCAUAUGCAAAAACAUGUGCUUUAUGAACUAGAUGCUGAUAUUGACCACAAGGAGGAAUAUAACCAUGAGUGGCGUGGGAAUAUGUAGAGAGGUUGGCAUGCAUAUCAGAAAGUGGGAGAUCAAAUUUAGUUGGCUAGAUGAUGUAAAAUAAUUCAUGUUGAAUCACUAAUUCACUGACUUUUAUGUUUCAGAAUUGUCUAUAUCUAUUAAUUUCUUUUUGUAUAGGAUUUAAAAUAA
Long non-coding RNA from Ipomoea nil (Japanese morning glory), 1037 nucleotides. RefSeq lists it as uncharacterized. The transcript is spliced from 5 exons. NCBI's taxonomy places the organism in Eukaryota, Viridiplantae, Streptophyta, Magnoliopsida, Solanales, Convolvulaceae. The record is from RefSeq and is a predicted model, not a curated record.